This 522-nucleotide ribosomal RNA is filed under the name uncultured Glomeromycotina. Its description in RNAcentral is "SSU rRNA". It matches the Rfam family "Eukaryotic small subunit ribosomal RNA", at positions 569 to 1092 of the family's 1831-position model. Lineage: Eukaryota; Fungi; Glomeromycota. The record is from RNAcentral.
AGCAGCCGCGGUAAUUCCAGCUCCAAUAGCGUAUAUUAAAGUUGUUGCAGUUAAAAAGCUCGUAGUUGAAUUUCGGGGUUGGUAGGUUGGUCAUGCCUUUGGUAUGUACUGGUCUCACUGAUUCCUCCUUCCUGAUGAGCCGUAAUGCCAUUAAUUUGGUGUUGCGGGGAAUUUGGACUGUUACUUUGAAAAAAUUAGAGUGUUUAAAGCAAGCUAACGCUUGAAUACAUUAGCAUGGAAUAAUGAAAUAGGACGUUCGAUCCUAUUUUGCUGGUUUCUAGGAUUGACGUAAUGAUUAAUAGGGAUAGUUGGGGGCAUUAGUAUUCAAUUGUCAGAGGUGAAAUUCUUGGAUUUAUUGAAGACUAACUACUGCGAAAGCAUUUGCCAAGGAUGUUUUCAUUAAUCAAGAACGAAAGUUAGGGGAUCGAAGACGAUCAGAUACCGUCGUAGUCUUAACCAUAAACUAUGCCGACUAGGGAUCGGAUGAUGUUAAUUUUUUAAUGACUCAUUCGGCGCCUUACG